This 66-nucleotide transfer RNA is filed under the name Glossotermes oculatus. RNAcentral's name for it is "tRNA-Asp". Lineage: Eukaryota; Metazoa; Arthropoda; Insecta; Blattodea; Rhinotermitidae. The record is from RNAcentral.
GAAGAAUUAGUUAAAAAAUAACAUUAGCAUGUCAAGCUGAAAUAAUCCAACCAAAGAUAUUCUUCU